UGGCCUAGAUAACUCUUAAACCCAUUGGCU
Molecule: non-coding RNA, 30 nt
Filed under: Mus musculus (house mouse)
Lineage: Eukaryota; Metazoa; Chordata; Mammalia; Rodentia; Muridae
Source: RNAcentral